Long non-coding RNA from Homo sapiens (human), 2396 nucleotides. Ensembl annotates it as H19 imprinted maternally expressed transcript. Its record names the gene H19. NCBI's taxonomy places the organism in Eukaryota, Metazoa, Chordata, Mammalia, Primates, Hominidae. The record is from Ensembl.
AGGGUGAGGGAGGGGGUGGGAUGGGUGGGGGGUAACGGGGGAAACUGGGGAAGUGGGGAACCGAGGGGCAACCAGGGGAAGAUGGGGUGCUGGAGGAGAGCUUGUGGGAGCCAAGGAGCACCUUGGACAUCUGGAGUCUGGCAGGAGUGAUGACGGGUGGAGGGGCUAGCUCGAGGCAGGGCUGGUGGGGCCUGAGGCCAGUGAGGAGUGUGGAGUAGGCGCCCAGGCAUCGUGCAGACAGGGCGACAUCAGCUGGGGACGAUGGGCCUGAGCUAGGGCUGGAAAGAAGGGGGAGCCAGGCAUUCAUCCCGGUCACUUUUGGUUACAGGACGUGGCAGCUGGUUGGACGAGGGGAGCUGGUGGGCAGGGUUUGAUCCCAGGGCCUGGGCAACGGAGGUGUAGCUGGCAGCAGCGGGCAGGUGAGGACCCCAUCUGCCGGGCAGGUGAGUCCCUUCCCUCCCCAGGCCUCGCUUCCCCAGCCUUCUGAAAGAAGGAGGUUUAGGGGAUCGAGGGCUGGCGGGGAGAAGCAGACACCCUCCCAGCAGAGGGGCAGGAUGGGGGCAGGAGAGUUAGCAAAGGUGACAUCUUCUCGGGGGGAGCCGAGACUGCGCAAGGCUGGGGGGUUAUGGGCCCGUUCCAGGCAGAAAGAGCAAGAGGGCAGGGAGGGAGCACAGGGGUGGCCAGCGUAGGGUCCAGCACGUGGGGUGGUACCCCAGGCCUGGGUCAGACAGGGACAUGGCAGGGGACACAGGACAGAGGGGUCCCCAGCUGCCACCUCACCCACCGCAAUUCAUUUAGUAGCAGGCACAGGGGCAGCUCCGGCACGGCUUUCUCAGGCCUAUGCCGGAGCCUCGAGGGCUGGAGAGCGGGAAGACAGGCAGUGCUCGGGGAGUUGCAGCAGGACGUCACCAGGAGGGCGAAGCGGCCACGGGAGGGGGGCCCCGGGACAUUGCGCAGCAAGGAGGCUGCAGGGGCUCGGCCUGCGGGCGCCGGUCCCACGAGGCACUGCGGCCCAGGGUCUGGUGCGGAGAGGGCCCACAGUGGACUUGGUGACGCUGUAUGCCCUCACCGCUCAGCCCCUGGGGCUGGCUUGGCAGACAGUACAGCAUCCAGGGGAGUCAAGGGCAUGGGGCGAGACCAGACUAGGCGAGGCGGGCGGGGCGGAGUGAAUGAGCUCUCAGGAGGGAGGAUGGUGCAGGCAGGGGUGAGGAGCGCAGCGGGCGGCGAGCGGGAGGCACUGGCCUCCAGAGCCCGUGGCCAAGGCGGGCCUCGCGGGCGGCGACGGAGCCGGGAUCGGUGCCUCAGCGUUCGGGCUGGAGACGAGGCCAGGUCUCCAGCUGGGGUGGACGUGCCCACCAGCUGCCGAAGGCCAAGACGCCAGGUCCGGUGGACGUGACAAGCAGGACAUGACAUGGUCCGGUGUGACGGCGAGGACAGAGGAGGCGCGUCCGGCCUUCCUGAACACCUUAGGCUGGUGGGGCUGCGGCAAGAAGCGGGUCUGUUUCUUUACUUCCUCCACGGAGUCGGCACACUAUGGCUGCCCUCUGGGCUCCCAGAACCCACAACAUGAAAGAAAUGGUGCUACCCAGCUCAAGCCUGGGCCUUUGAAUCCGGACACAAAACCCUCUAGCUUGGAAAUGAAUAUGCUGCACUUUACAACCACUGCACUACCUGACUCAGGAAUCGGCUCUGGAAGGUGAGCACCAGCGCUCCUUCCGGAAGCCUCCAGGCCCCCGAGCACCCUGCCCCCAUCCCACCCACGUGUCGCUAUCUCUAGGUGAAGCUAGAGGAACCAGACCUCAUCAGCCCAACAUCAAAGACACCAUCGGAACAGCAGCGCCCGCAGCACCCACCCCGCACCGGCGACUCCAUCUUCAUGGCCACCCCCUGCGGCGGACGGUUGACCACCAGCCACCACAUCAUCCCAGAGCUGAGCUCCUCCAGCGGGAUGACGCCGUCCCCACCACCUCCCUCUUCUUCUUUUUCAUCCUUCUGUCUCUUUGUUUCUGAGCUUUCCUGUCUUUCCUUUUUUCUGAGAGAUUCAAAGCCUCCACGACUCUGUUUCCCCCGUCCCUUCUGAAUUUAAUUUGCACUAAGUCAUUUGCACUGGUUGGAGUUGUGGAGACGGCCUUGAGUCUCAGUACGAGUGUGCGUGAGUGUGAGCCACCUUGGCAAGUGCCUGUGCAGGGCCCGGCCGCCCUCCAUCUGGGCCGGGUGACUGGGCGCCGGCUGUGUGCCCGAGGCCUCACCCUGCCCUCGCCUAGUCUGGAAGCUCCGACCGACAUCACGGAGCAGCCUUCAAGCAUUCCAUUACGCCCCAUCUCGCUCUGUGCCCCUCCCCACCAGGGCUUCAGCAGGAGCCCUGGACUCAUCAUCAAUAAACACUGUUACAGCAA